CCAUACUCAAAAUAUACAAGCCAUUAUGCCAAGAUGGUAUACGGAUAGUGUGAGCGAGCCUCCGACCGUUCCCGAUUUCCGAGCUGGCUUGUCAAAACUACAAGGAAUGAAAAGGAGGGAGUAAGCAUAAAUGCUUAAUAAGUUCACAUGCAAAUAGCAAGUAACAUAACCAUAUAAGCAAACAUAAAACAUCAUUUGCAUAAUCAUCACCAAGACAGUCAUAUCACAUUUUCAUUUAUCAUCUUACCAUAUUGUUGUUAUAUCGAUUUUUCAACCUGAGGGUUAAGUACAUACCUGUUCAAAGUACCCAUUUCACAACACUUAACAAUACGUCCCUUUCAUCUUGAGUAUUCCUCCAUUUCAGUAGAACUUUACCCGUUGAACACAUCGGAAUAUAAUUCGGAUACAUGGAAAGUUUGCACAUCAAUGCCACAUAUGUAGCCAAGCUACCAUGUAACCUGCCUAUAAGUGAACUCGGACUCAACUCAACGAGCUCGGGCGUUCGCAUCCAUAAGUGAACUCGGACUCAACUCAACGAGCUCGGAUGCCUAGUUACAUCUCUCGAACUCGAACUCAACUCAACGAGUUCGGACAUUCGCAUCCAUAAGUGAACUCGGACUCAACUCAACGAGUUCGGAUGCUCAACCAUCCUAGUGACAUGUCACUUGUAUCCUAAUCUAUUCCUAAGGUUCAAACGGGAUUUUCUUCAAACACAUCUCCUUGCCAUCUUCCGUAAAAUACCGAAACCAAUACUCGGUAAUACUUUAUAUUUAACAAUUAAUACACAUAAUUUGCAUUUUAUUCGAAAAUAACCACAAAGCAUAAUAUUUCAUGAUAAUAAUCAGCAUCAGAUCAUAUAAACAACAUUAAAUUGCUUAAAAUGACAAUCAUGUUACUACAUUUACACAUGAACUUACCUCGUAUGCGGAAAUGACUACUUUUACCAUUUCGUCCACAACUUGGUAUUUUCCCCAUUUUAGCCCGAAUUUCAGUUUUCCUUGCUCUAUCAUUUAAAAUAUAGUCUAAUUAGGACUCACAUUAUUCAAAUUGACCCAAAAUCAUAUUUUGGAAAAAUUACAAUUUUGCCCCUAAACUUUUGCAUAUUUACAUUUUUCCCCAAAGCUCGUAAAUUAAACUUCAGCCUAUUUUCUUAUGUUUUAUGACAUGCUGAUCAUUUUUCCCUUAUAUGGAAACAUCAAAUUCUCACUCUAACAUGUACUUAUGACUAUUAGAUAUUUUUAUCGAUUAAGCCAUUUUGCUCGUUUUCACUUAAAACCGAGUAGCACAAGUUUUCUAACAUAAUUUAAAACCUCAUAUUCUAUCAUAAAACACCAAAAUACACAAAUUUCACCUAUGGGUAUUUUUCCAAAUAUAAACCCUAGGUUAAAUUAUUGCUAGCAUAAGCUAAAUCGAGCUACCGGGACUCCAAAAACGUAAAAAUCAUUAAAAACAAGGCUAGAACGGACUUACAAUCGAGCUUGGAAGCUUGAAAAACCCUAUCCAUGGUUUCUCCU
RNAcentral lists this long non-coding RNA (1514 nucleotides) under Gossypium barbadense (sea-island cotton). RNAcentral's name for it is "long non-coding RNA (GBAR_LNC006686)". The record is from RNAcentral. Lineage: Eukaryota; Viridiplantae; Streptophyta; Magnoliopsida; Malvales; Malvaceae.